CGCACGGGCCCAUGGCGGGCGUUUCCUCCCUUGACUUCAAAGCCCCGCGCGCACGUCGCCGCGGGGCCUUUUUUCAGCAUGC
Molecule: small RNA, 82 nt
Filed under: Methylobacterium sp. B4
Lineage: Bacteria; Pseudomonadati; Pseudomonadota; Alphaproteobacteria; Hyphomicrobiales; Methylobacteriaceae
Description: suhB
Rfam family: Makes More Granules Regulator RNA (mmgR)
About the family: SuhB later renamed mmgR (makes more granules regulator) was a putative non-coding RNA found multiple times in the Agrobacterium tumefaciens genome and related alpha-proteobacteria. Other non-coding RNAs uncovered in the same analysis include: speF, ybhL, metA, and serC. Several studies inSinorhizobium meliloti showed that suhB element is indeed a non-coding RNA:firstly it was detected on Northern blot and called Sm8RNA, secondly in an RNAseq study referred to as SmelC689.
Source: RNAcentral